CUGGCGGCACGCCUAACACAUGCAAGUCGAACGAAGUAGCAAUACUUAGUGGCAGACGGGUGAGUAACAUGUGGGUAUCUACCCUUUGGCCUGGAAUAACACGAGGAAACUUGUGCUAAUACCGGAUAAGUCUUUACGGAGAAAGCUUUAUGCACCAUUGGAUGAGCCCGCACUUGAUUAGUUUGUUGGUAGGGUAACGGCCUACCAAGACUUUGAUCAAUAGCUGAUUUGAGAGGAUGAUCAGCCACAUUGGGACUGAGACACGGCCCAAACUCCUACGGGAGGCAGCAGUGGGGAAUCUUGCACAAUGGAGGAAACUCUGAUGCAGCGAUGCCGCGUGAGUGAAGAAGGCCCUUGGGUUGUAAAGCUCUUUCGUCGGGGAAGAAAAUGACUGUACCCGAAUAAGAAGGUCCGGCUAACUUCGUGCCAGCAGCCGCGGUAAUACGAAGGGACCUAGCGUAGUUCGGAAUUACUGGGCUUAAAGAGUUCGUAGGUGGUUGAAAAAGUUGGUGGUGAAAUCCCAGAGCUUAACUCUGGAACUGCCAUCAAAACUUUUCAGCUAGAGUUUGAUAGAGGAAAGCAGAAUUUCUAGUGUAGAGGUGAAAUUCGUAGAUAUUAGAAAGAAUACCAAUUGCGAAGGCAGCUUUCUGGAUCAUUACUGACACUGAGGAACGAAAGCAUGGGUAGCGAAGAGGAUUAGAUACCCUCGUAGUCCAUGCUGUAAACGAUGUGUGUUAGACGUUGGAAAUUUAUUUUCAGUGUCGCAGCGAAAGCGAUAAACACACCGCCUGGGGAGUACGACC
This 803-nucleotide ribosomal RNA is filed under the name uncultured Pelagibacteraceae bacterium. RNAcentral's name for it is "bacterial SSU rRNA". It matches the Rfam family "Bacterial small subunit ribosomal RNA", at positions 36 to 887 of the family's 1533-position model. Lineage: Bacteria; Pseudomonadati; Pseudomonadota; Alphaproteobacteria; Candidatus Pelagibacterales; Candidatus Pelagibacteraceae. The record is from RNAcentral.